Molecule: microRNA precursor, 83 nt
Filed under: Chlorocebus sabaeus (green monkey)
Lineage: Eukaryota; Metazoa; Chordata; Mammalia; Primates; Cercopithecidae
Description: miRNA (ENSCSAG00000020826.1)
Source: RNAcentral
GAAUCCCUUGAACCCAGGAGGUUGAGGAUGCAGUGAGCCAUGAUCAUGCCACUGUACUUCAGCCUGGGUGACAGAAUGUAACU